Molecule: ribosomal RNA, 793 nt
Filed under: uncultured Alphaproteobacteria bacterium
Lineage: Bacteria; Pseudomonadati; Pseudomonadota; Alphaproteobacteria
Description: bacterial SSU rRNA
Rfam family: Bacterial small subunit ribosomal RNA
Source: RNAcentral
CUUCUUUCGGGAAGUGGAGAGUGGCGCACGGGUGAGUAACGCGUGGGAAUUUGCCUUUUGGUACGGGAUAACGUUUGGAAACGGACGCUAAUACCGUAUGUGAUCUACGGAUUAAAGAUUUAUCGCCAGAAGAGAAGCCCGCGUAGGAUUAGGUAGUUGGUGUGGUAACGGCGCACCAAGCCGACGAUCUUUAGCUGGUCUGAGAGGACGAUCAGCCACACUGGAACUGAGACACGGUCCAGACUCCUACGGGAGGCAGCAGUGGGGAAUAUUGGACAAUGGGGGCAACCCUGAUCCAGCCAUGCCGCGUGAGUGAAGAAGGCCUUAGGGUUGUAAAGCUCUUUCGCUAGGGAAGAUAAUGACGGUACCUAGUAAAGAAGUCCCGGCUAACUCCGUGCCAGCAGCCGCGGUAAUACGGAGGGGACUAGCGUUGUUCGGAAUUACUGGGCGUAAAGAGUACGUAGGCGGCUUGCCAAGUUGGGUGUGAAAGCCCGGGGCUCAACCCCGGAACUGCACUCAAAACUGGCUGGCUAGAGAUCGGAAGAGGUAAGUGGAAUUCCCAGUGUAGAGGUGAAAUUCGUAGAUAUUGGGAAGAACACCGGUGGCGAAGGCGGCUUACUGGUCCGAGACUGACGCUGAGGUACGAAAGCGUGGGGAGCAAACAGGAUUAGAUACCCUGGUAGUCCACGCCGUAAACGAUGAAUGCUAGUUGUUGGGAGGUUUACCUUUCAGUGACGCAGCUAACGCAUUAAGCAUUCCGCCUGGGGAGUACGGUCGCAAGAUUAAAACUCAA